UCAAUUCCUCUCUCUCACUUUCCCUCACCCUUUCUCCACUUUUCUCUCUGAAAAAAUUCUCACUUUUUUUCUCACACUUUCCCGGAUAACCCAAUCCAUCCCAUCUUAAAAAGCAGAAAAUUUUCCCUCAAGAAAGUGGUUUUCCUUACCACAAAAACAGACGUAUUCAAUUCAAGAAACGGGUUCAAAGAUUUUCCCCAGAAAAUCUGAUUCUCUCUCUUCAAAUGGGUUUUUAAUUUUGAAAUACUUAAUUUCUUAAUUUAAUUUAAUUAAAAAAAAAAAUUUCUUCUGUUUUUGCAGACUACUGACGGUGAUGAGGAAGUUAUGUACAAAUUUUCCAAUCUCUCAAAUCAAGAAAAGGGUCUGAAGAUUUUCUCUGGAAAAACCCAAGUGGUCUGUAGCUACUAAGAGAGAUGCUUACAAGUGCUGGAGCAAGAGAAAUGAUUUCUAUGCAGUAUAGAGACCUUUUUGUAUCAACACCCUAAAAGACUGAGUUCAAGAGAAUCACUUCACCUCUAAAGUACCAGACAAGAUGUGUUGCUGCCUUUCCAGAUCAGCAAGGUUUCUUGUUGAUAGAUCGGAUCCAAGAAAGGCAAUUUCCUUGUUCUGGUCUGCCAUAAAUGCUGGGGACCUGGCUGAUAGUGCCUUGAAAGAAAUGGCAAUUGUGAUGAAACAAUUGGGUCGAUUUGAUGAGGCAAUUGAGGCUAUCAAAUCUUUUCGUCAUCUCUGCCCUUAUGAUUCCUAGGAAUCUCUUGGCAAUGUGUUAGUUGAACUCUACAAGCUAGUUACAUAUAUUGGGGCAACAACAACAAGAAAGCGGGAGUGUGGCAAGUAUAAAUGGUGAGUGU
This is a long non-coding RNA of Quercus robur (English oak), 848 nucleotides long. RefSeq lists it as uncharacterized. The transcript has 5 exons. The record is from RefSeq and is a predicted model, not a curated record. NCBI's taxonomy places the organism in Eukaryota, Viridiplantae, Streptophyta, Magnoliopsida, Fagales, Fagaceae.